AAAUGUGUCAUCUUUAAAUAUAUUUAUUAAAAUAUUUAGAAUAUGAAACAAGGAAUAUUAAAAUAUGUUUUAAUAUUAAAGCACUGCAUUUUACUAAAGGCUAUUUAAACUAUAGUUUCCUUAUACUAAAGCAAGAAUCUGGUAUAACUUUGCUUUCCUAGUUGAUACGAAGCCAACUCAUUAAUUUUCCCAACAUUACUUCUUUCCUUCUUUGGGAGGACAGCUGUGUUUGACGACUUCUUGUUGACUCUUCAACAAUUUUUAUUUGACUGAGGUUCCUGAAAUGACUUUCUCAGGACCCCACCUUGACUAUCUUGUUAGAAAGAGGAGUUAAGUGUUCUGUACACAGCACUGAGGACAUUUGGCAGGUCUGAGCUCUUCAUUUUCUUUGGUAUGAAUUUCAUCGAUUAAAGCAAAUUUGCCCCAAUCUCAUUGGCCAUGUCGACUGACCUAAACUCCACAAAGUGAGAGUUGGGAGUUAUGUUUUAUUUGGAGCAAAAUGAGGGCUGUAUCCCAGGAGACAGCAUUCAGAUAGCUCUGAGGAACCACUGGGAAGAGGCAGGCGGGAAGGUCCAUAUUAGAGAGGAUUUCAGUGAAGGGGCAGGUGCGGUCAAGGGCACAUUUAGGCAGGGGCUUGCUGCUAGUCAGGAGGAGAUGAUGUCACAGUUACUGGUUUUAGUGUCCUCCUUGGCAUGAGAUAUGAGCAAGCAUUGGGCUCCUGAAACCUUCUCCUGAAGGCCUGUUCUGCCACGUUUCCCGCAGAGCCCAGGGUGCCUCCUUCCUGAUCUCCACCCUGAACUCCUUUUAGGGCCUGUUGCAGCCUAGAGGUUGCAGGCUAAUGUUUAACCCAGGCAGAGGUGGAUUCCAAGUGCCCACAUGACUCCCGACUUGAGAAGGCAGACGCAAGUGCCAAUUUUUAUGCCAGCAACCUGAAGGCUUCCUUUCUUAAAACUCUCAGCGAUUUGGGAGUGCAGGGUCAAUUCUGGUCUUUAUUUAACAUUUUCCUUUUUGUUGUUCCUUUUGUACAUUGUACAAUUUCAUUUAUUUAUGUUGCAUUAAAAUAUUGUUUCUCUUGUUCCGUCGAUUUGAUGCCUGCUCGCAAUCAAUGCUUGAGGGAAGAUUUUCCUUUCUUUACCCUUAUAUUAACCCAGGAAAUAGUUUUGAAUUCAUUUUAUGAUCAUUCCUAGCUAAAAAUUUAGGAAAGUCCCAUUUCUCCAACCCCUCUACCCCAUGUGUACUUCUUCUUUCAAUUAAAAAUUUUUAAUUGAAGUAGAGUCAGUUUACAAUGUUAUACCGUCCUACAGCAUAAUACUCAGUCAUACAUACACGCCCGUGCAUAUUUCUGAACCGAUUUCCUACUCUUUCAGACUGUUUUCUUUUUCAAGUCUGUGUUUUAAACUAGUUUUCCCAGAGGUGAUCUGAGAAUAACUGCGGAUGAGGGACAGGACUGUUUACCUGCAUUAGAUGCCUCACACACAACAGCCGUUUUUGUCAGACAGCUCUUCUAGAUGCUGGGUGUCUGCAAAAUACACCACAUGCUGUAAGAUUUCUCUCCAUACUAUACCAGGCACUGUUCUAAGUGUGGAGACCUGGGCUCUGCUCCCUCACAGUCCCGCGGGCAGUGCGGCUCCUGGAGCUUGCAUUUGGGGGCCUCCCCGUGCAGACCCCUGACAGUGUGACGGGAGCUGCAGCCAGAGCCACUCUGGGCUGGGCUGGGCUGGGCUGGGCUGGGCUGGGCUGGGCUGGGCUGAGCGGGGACCGGACAGCUUCCUGGGUGUUGUAUUCAUGCUCCAGGCAGCUGUCAUUCACUCUGUUCUCUCUCAGCCUGUAUUUUGCAAACUUUAUUUCAUUCCAUCUUUAUAAUUUCCCUGGUGAGCACCGCUGAACUUGUCUUGAUGUUUUGAAAGACACAAUGAAAGUCACCAGUCAUUUAAGUCAGGAGGCACAGCUUUUGUCAGAGUGGAGGCUCCUGCUGCUCCCAGGCCCUCCUGGUCAUCAGCUGUGAGCCCUUGCCCUCAGCUGCCCUGAUGCUGCUGGGGCCUCCUUCAUCCUCACCCUGCCUCUCAUGUCUGUCUUCCCGGCUCCCUGGACCGCAGUCACCGUCCCUGUCUUCCUCUCCUGGAAUCCACAUUGCCAAGCACAUUGUCACAUAUGUGUGCAGUUAGCCUACGUUGGUGACAAAAUGAAGAGAAGGUUAUGGAUUAAACCUUGCUGUUAACAUUUAUGCCCCUAUUAUACAUAGACAGUGUCCAGAAAUGUGAGCUAUGUCUUCUGUAAAGACAUGCAGAGGAUUCAAAUCUAAUGCCUUAGACCGUAAAAGGGAAAUGCAGAGAGCGUAACAAUACAUACGAGGUAUUGAAGCUGUGACAUUAUCUUCUGCUGAAAAAUGGAAGAGAAACUGGAAAAAGUGGAAACAAACAUGGGACAAGCAGAGAAACGACAACCUUGUUCCGUUGAAGACUCUCCCGUGCAGGAAGGUGCUCAGAGGAGCUGGGUGAAGGCUGCACAGCUGAUCAGCUACAUCACCAGGCUCAGCAGGGGCUGCCAGCCUCCUCACUGAGGACCUGGAGGGCGGUCUGCUCUCCAGGUCUGUCCACACCCUUAGCUGUAACCCGGCCCAGAAGCAUGGCCCGCCAGAGCCGGAGACCGUCACAGUUCUGCACCAAAUGAGAGACUCUUCCUUGUUUCCCUGCCUGGAGGACGAGCAUGUUUUCUAGUUCCCCCAGAACCAGCUGGACAGCAGCCGGUUCCCAAGCGCUCAGGCCACCUCUUCUUUCAUGAGAUGCUCCAGCAGGCCUUCAGCCUCUUCAGCCCAAACAGCCUAAAUCCCUCACUGGGCUGCAUCAGCAGAGGGAGGCUCUGGAGACCAGUCUGGAGCAGGAGGUGGGGAGGAAAAUACCCCCUGGGCAGUGAGGACUCCAGCCAGACUUUGAAGAGCUCCUUCCAAGACCCCCGCUCGAUGUGGGAAGAAAGCACAGAGCUACUGUGCCCGGGACUCUGUCAAACUGGAAGUUAAGAUGAGAAAGUCAGUAUGUGCUCUCGCUGUGUUAUCAUCUCCGAGAAAACCCCGGAGCUGGAAAGGAGACCUGCGCCCAGCCUUUCACCGCUUAGUCUUAGCGCCUCCUGUGUGGCCUCAAGCGGGUCAAUAUUCACACAAUUCAAGGCCCUUUGUUCUUCAGUUGUAAACGCACUGAGUCAUCCCGGCAGAUUGUUUUGCAAUACUUAGAGGAAACUAUACUUUGAAUCGGGAAACUCUGUAUUUUAAAUUUGUAAUAAAUAGAAAUUUUUUUCUAUGCUGAUUGUUGUAUUUAUGGAAUUUCCUCAUCGCAUUGUAUGGUCAGCUUUAUGAUCUUGUUUCCCUUGUCUUUGGGGGUUUCAAAGGUAUAUUUUAAAUUUUAGUUCUUACUCAUACUCUUAAAGACAUACAAAGUGUCCUUAAAGAUUGAAUCUGCCUUAAAAUCCAAGUGGAACAUAGUUUUAUUCAUCUCAUUGAGUUUUAAAAAAAUUUCAGUUAUCUCUGCACCCAGUAACUGACUUGUGAGUAUAAUGGUAGAUAAACUCUUCUUCUU
Molecule: long non-coding RNA, 3569 nt
Organism: Camelus dromedarius (Arabian camel)
Lineage: Eukaryota; Metazoa; Chordata; Mammalia; Artiodactyla; Camelidae
Exons: 2
Source: RefSeq, a predicted model, not a curated record